Molecule: ribosomal RNA, 427 nt
Filed under: uncultured bacterium
Lineage: Bacteria
Description: bacterial SSU rRNA
Rfam family: Bacterial small subunit ribosomal RNA
Source: RNAcentral
UGGGGAAUUUUGGACAAUGGACGCAAGUCUGAUCCAGCCAUGCCGCGUGCGGGAAGAAGGCCUUCGGGUUGUAAACCGCUUUUGUCAGGGAAGAAACGAGUUUCUCUAAUACAGAGACUUAAUGACGGUACCUGAAGAAUAAGCACCGGCUAACUACGUGCCAGCAGCCGCGGUAAUACGAAGGGGGCUAGCGUUGUUCGGAAUUACUGGGCGUAAAGCGCACGUAGGCGGAUUUUUAAGUCAGGGGUGAAAUCCCGAGGCUCAACCUCGGAACUGCCUUUGUGACUGCAUAGCUAGAGUGCGGCAGAGGGGGAUGGAAUUCCGCGUGUAGCAGUGAAAUGCGUAGAUAUGCGGAGGAACACCGAUGGCGAAGGCAAUCCCCUGGGCCUGUACUGACGCUCAUGCACGAAAGCGUGGGGAGCAAACA